This 1640-nucleotide long non-coding RNA is filed under the name Macaca fascicularis (crab-eating macaque). RNAcentral describes it as "lncRNA (ENSMFAG00000051349.1)". Lineage: Eukaryota; Metazoa; Chordata; Mammalia; Primates; Cercopithecidae. The record is from RNAcentral.
GGGGCUGCAGUGCCAGCUGCCAGAGCCGGUGCAGGUGCCUGGCAGGAAAACUGAGAAGCAGCCUCUCUAGAAAGCCACAGCCCAGGGAGCUCUGAUCUUUUUUGUUUGUUUUUGUUUUUUUGAGACGGAGUUCCCCUCUUGUUGUCCAGGCUGGAAUGCAAUGGCUAGAUCUUGGCUCACCACAACCUCCACCUCCCAGGUUCAAGUGAUUCUCCUGCCUCAGUCUCCCGAGUAGCUGGGAUUACAGGUAUGCGCCACCACACCUGGCUAAUUUUGUAUUUUUAGUAGAGAUGGGGUUUCUCCAUGUUGGUCGGGCUGGUCUCAACCUCUCAACCUCAGGUGAUCCGCCCACCUCGGCCUCCCAAAGUGUUGGGAUUACAGGCGUGAGCCACUGUGCCCAGCACUCUGAUGUUCUUUUUUGAUUUGGGAAAUUGUUUUCUGCUCUCUUUUUCUUAUUUGGUUUAUACUUAGCAGCCUGCAAAAGGAGACCUUGCCCUCUGGGGUUUUUACACUAAGGCCACAGGUGAGUGAGUGCUCCCAGCCUGGGCACCCCAAGGAGGCCAGUGUUGGCCCCCAAGCCCAGCCCAAGGCAUGCGGACACCAUGGCCCCUCCCUCCUCUCAGGGCUGAGAGCCAGCAGCAAGAGCUCACCAUGCCUGCAGCCACCGUGUGCACCCCCAUCAAGCCUGGAGGAGGCUGUGCCCUGUCCUCAGGACCUCACAGUGUGCGUGGGGUCUCCCCUGUCCCUGACCCCUCGCUGUUCUCAGGACCUCACAGUGUGGGUGGGGUCUCCCCUGUCCCUGACCCCUCGCUGUUCUCAGGACCUCACAGUGUGGGUGGGGUCUCCCCUGUCCCUGACCCCUCGCUCUCAUCAGGACCUCACAGUGUGGGUGGGGUCUCCCCUGUCCCUGACCCCUCGCUCUCAUCAGGACCUCACAGUGUGGGUGGGGUCUCCCCUGUCCCUGACCCCUCGCUGUUCUCAGGACCUCACAGUGUGGGUGGGGUCUCCCCUGUCCCUGACCCCUCGCUCUCAUCAGGACCUCACAGUGUGGGUGGGGUCUCCCCUGUCCCUGACCCCUCGCUCUCAUCAGGACCUCACAGUGUGGGUGGGGUCUCCUGUGUUUCUAACCUCUCACUGUCAGCAAGUCCUUGCAAUAUCAGUUGAGGCCUUUUGUGUCACUUGGCCAUUUCUUGUCCACUGGACCUCAAAACUAACAUGAUAUACUGUAGUAAGAAUGUAGAAACUUUCCCACUAAAAUCACGACCAAGGUCCGUACGUCCGCUCUCACCACCUCCUUUCAGCACUUUAAGCUCUAACAGAUGGAACAAGGCAAGAAAAGGAAGUUAAAGUUUAAUGAUACUGAAAGAAGAAACAAACUCUCUUUGUUCAUAAAUGACAUUUUUCAGGUAGAAAGUGUAAAAAGGGAUCAAGAAAACCCCCUAGAAUAAUGAACAACUGUUCAAGAUUUCAAAAUAUACAAAAGUUAAUCACUUUCCUGUAUACCGACAAUGGAUGAGUGGAUUUGAAGUUAAAAACAAAAUACUUCUACAUUAGCACCCCCAAACAAUAAAAUACUUACAUACAAGUCUAAAAAAAUGUGUACUCUUUCUAUAUAUAUGAGAAAAACUACAAAACCCUGA